UGGGAACCUUCCUUAUGGUUCGGAAUAGCUCAGGGAAACUUGAGGUAAUACCGGAUAAGCCCUUCGGGGAAAGAUUUAUCGCCAUUGGAUGGGCCCGUGUCGGAUUAGCUAGUUGGUGAGGUAACGGCUCACCAAGGCAACGAUCCGUAGCUGGUCUGAGAGGAUGAUCAGCCACACUGGGACUGAGACACGGCCCAGACUCCUACGGGAGGCAG
Molecule: ribosomal RNA, 215 nt
Filed under: uncultured bacterium
Lineage: Bacteria
Description: partial 16S ribosomal RNA
Rfam family: Bacterial small subunit ribosomal RNA
Source: RNAcentral